This is a small nuclear RNA of Apodemus sylvaticus (European woodmouse), 106 nucleotides long. The record is from RefSeq and is a predicted model, not a curated record. NCBI's taxonomy places the organism in Eukaryota, Metazoa, Chordata, Mammalia, Rodentia, Muridae.
GGGCUCACUUCAGCAGCACACAUACUAACACUGAAACAAUACAGAAAAGACUAGCAUGGCCCUGUGCAAGAAUGCCAUUGAAAUCCAGGAAGCCUUCCACUUGUUU